CAGCGACUUAUAUUCUGUAGCAAGGUUAACCGAAUAGGGGAGCCGGAGGGAAACCGAGUCUUAAUUGGGCGUUAAGUUGCAGGGUAUAGACCCGAAACCCGGUGAUCUAGCCAUGGGCAGGUUGAAGGUUGGGUAACACUAACUGGAGGACCGAACCGACUAAUGUUGAAAAAUUAGCGGAUGACCUGUGGCUGGGGGUGAAAGGCCAAUCAAACCGGGAGAUAGCUGGUUCUCCCCGAAAGCUAUUUAGGUAGCGCCUCGUGAAUUCAUCUCCGGGGGUAGAGCACUGUUUCGGCUAGGGGGCCAUCCCGGCUUACCAACCCGAUGCAAACUGCGAAUACCGGAGAAUGUUAUCACGGGAGACACACGGCGGGUGCUAACGUCCGUCGUGAAGAGGGAAACAACCCAGACCGCCAGCUAAGGUCCCAAAGUCAUGGUUAAGUGGGAAACGAUGUGGGAAGGCCCAGACAGCCAGGAUGUUGGCUUAGAAGCAGCCAUCAUUUAAAGAAAGCGUAAUAGCUCACUGGUCGAGUCGGCCUGCGCG
This 544-nucleotide ribosomal RNA is filed under the name Salmonella enterica. RNAcentral's name for it is "partial 23S ribosomal RNA". It matches the Rfam family "Bacterial large subunit ribosomal RNA", at positions 621 to 1165 of the family's 2925-position model. The record is from RNAcentral. Lineage: Bacteria; Pseudomonadati; Pseudomonadota; Gammaproteobacteria; Enterobacterales; Enterobacteriaceae.